GGAGAUUCCAAUGUGCAGCCACUUCGAGAUCCAGUCUUCCAGAUGGAUCUCAAACUUGAGUGUGUCACGGUCACCCAGAAGGCUUGUUAAAACAUCGAUUCUGGGCUCCACCCCCAGAUUUUCUCUGUAACUCGGCUUCAAGUGGGACUUGAGAAUGUGCAUUUCUAACAAGGUGCCAGGCUCUCUGUUUCUGUUGUCAGCUCAGCCACAGCCCUGCCUGCUUCUGAACAGCAGCAACAACGUCCACCUCCCCAUCAAGAUCCCAUGAUUAUGAUUCUUUGGAACUACGUUUCCCAGAUUCCCUUCGCAGCAGGUUCUGUGCUGGAUUUAGCCAAUGAGAGAUGCUUGAUUGAGAUUCGAAGCCAAAGGUAAAGAAAAGUCAUGCGUUACUGAGGCAGUUGUGGGCAGAGCAUGGGCCUCAGCAGAUGGCAGCCCCUGGGCCAUGUCAGUGGUUUCUGGGCAUUCUUCUGAGAACCACCUUUAUGGUGCCGCAGGCAGCCGAGAUCAUCAGCAGGGACUUCCCCAUGGUUCUUGCACUUCUAGAUUUUCUGAAAGCCAGCACCAGCCUCCUUGACCUUUGAAUCCUCCAACCUUUACAACAGUUAUGUAAACCUCUAAUUUUCUAUAUUAAAUCUCUUCCUGCCUGAGUAGCUUCUGAUUUCCUGACUGUAUUAGUCAGGGUUCUCCACGGAAACAGAACCAAUAGGAGUUUAUAUAGAGAGAGGAAGAGAGAAAGAGUUUUAGUAUAAGGAAUUAGCUCAUGUGAUGGUGGAGCCUGGUGAAUCCCAAAUCUGCAGUAUGGACUGGCGGGCUGGAGACCAAUAGAGCCACUGGUGCUGCUCCAUUCUGAAGACAGGCAACGUGAAGAUCCAGGAGGGGUGAUGGUACAGACAAAGUUAUAUUUUCAUUUAUAUUUGCCCCUAAUUGUGUCUAUUGGUAUAAUGCUUUAGGAGACAAAGUAGUUGUUGUAAUAGAAUGUUAUGAAGGAAAGAAUUAAUGGUAGGACUAUGGGACGGAUGGUUCUCAGUGCAUAGGGGAGCUGAAUGAAGGCUUGGGAUCCCUAAAAUUAGAAUGGGACGCUUGCAUGGAUGCUGUUGAAUAUUUGGACGUUGAACCCCAAAUCGUCCUGAACUCCCUUGUCAGGAGAAGCAGUCCCUCCUCCUACCUCUCAGAUGGUUUAUCUCCUCACUCUCAAAGACCCUGCAAUAAAGUGAGCUAAGGCAGUUGGGAGAAGCUGACUGAACUUAAGGCCUACCCCUGCCAUCUCUCAUUACCUACAGACCCAAUUAAUAUUGCUUCUCAGCAGCCUCCAGGGAUAAGAGGGCUCAAUGUAAACUUGGAGGAGAUAGCAUAUUCACCAAAAGAAGAUUUUACCCAUGGAUUCUUAAAGUUCAUACCAAAGAGGAAAUAAUGUAGCACUGGAUUGGGCUGAAUUUAUCAAAAUGGAUUGGAGUUUUAUCUCAAACAGCUGAAGCUGACUCUAACAAUUUCUGACUCUUGGACAUAAAUGUGGACUCAAUUGCGGCUUGUGGCUGGCGCUAGUUCACAGACCCGAAGAUGCUUGAAGGAAGGGAGGAAGUCUCCCUCUGAGGAAGAACCCCACAGCACUGCCAUAAGUUUAUGCAUUGCCUGAUAGAGACUGAAUCCCUGACCAAUGGACCAUAUGUGACCAUGCAACCUGAACCACACAUCAUCUCCUGAGUGUUACUGAUUAACCAAGCCAUGAAGUUGGGCAUGUGCAGCAGCAUACCAUAAUCAAAUGGAAAUGGUAUAUAUGAGACUGGAUUUGAUCAGUGUGUAUAAAAAGUAUGCAUAUUCUGAAGUGCCGAUCUUCAAAAUCUUCUGACUUCAAAAACAUUUCCCCAUCCUGAAAUGGUUGAGAUCUACUGCCCUCAGAUCUGCAGCUUCAGUGUAGCCCGUAUAGGAGAUGACAUUCCAGGAGCCAAGCCAAGAAUUUGUUAAAAGCUUUCAUCUGGUCCAGAAUUUCUGCAAUCCUGUAUCAGACUGUUUCUAUAGUGGACACUGCUUUAUCUGAGAAGUUUCUGGACUUAGCUAACUUAGGGGGCAGAGUGUUGGGACUAUCUUAGAACCCAGCUUGAACUAGCUAAAGCAAAAAUGGGUCUCUGGAAAGACAAACUGAAUGAACGCUCAGGAAGCAGGGCAGUGCUGAGGACCUACAGACUGGAGUUGGGGCCACACUCCUUGUCUCCACUCUGCAUCAGUCACGGAAUUUAAUUCUUCACAACCUCACAACCAAAGAAGAAAGGGGGUUGAGUAUAAGACAGGGUUUCUCUCUCCAAGCUCUGGUUUUUAAAAUCUUUCAGAAGGCCUUUGGUGGGCCCAGUGUGGAUCUCGAGUCCUUUCCUUGGCUCAAACACUGCCGUGGGGCUGAGGAGUGGGCCAGUGUCUUACUCACAUAUGUCUGUGGCUGGAGGAUGGAGCUCUAUAAAUCGGAGGGAGGGGAAAUGGGUGCUGGGAAGAAAAAGAAGAUGUUCACUUUGAGAGCUGAGAAGAGAAAGCUGGGAGAGAGUCUUCCAGCUUACAAAGACAUGUCUUUGGGUCAAGGAGGCAAUGAUCAACAGGAAGUAUCCGUCAAGGUCACAUCCG
Equus caballus (horse) is the source of this 2607-nucleotide long non-coding RNA. Lineage: Eukaryota; Metazoa; Chordata; Mammalia; Perissodactyla; Equidae. The record is from Ensembl.